AAUUUACAAUGGAGAGUUUGAUCCUGGCUCAGGAUGAACGCUAGCGGCAGGCCUAAUACAUGCAAGUCGAGC
This 72-nucleotide ribosomal RNA is filed under the name Algoriphagus sp. A40. Its description in RNAcentral is "partial 16S ribosomal RNA". It matches the Rfam family "Bacterial small subunit ribosomal RNA", at positions 1 to 67 of the family's 1533-position model. The record is from RNAcentral. Lineage: Bacteria; Pseudomonadati; Bacteroidota; Cytophagia; Cytophagales; Cyclobacteriaceae.